GUGCUUGCUUUGGCCGCACAUAUACUAAAACUGGAAUGAUGCAGAGAUUAGCAUGGCCCCUGCACAAGGAUGACACUUUUAUUUAACUUGGCAAAAAAAAAAAAAAUU
Non-coding RNA from Chlorocebus sabaeus (green monkey), 108 nucleotides. The record is from Rfam. NCBI's taxonomy places the organism in Eukaryota, Metazoa, Chordata, Mammalia, Primates, Cercopithecidae.